AGCCUUCUGUAUUCGUGCUGCGAUUUCGUCACACACCAGACCACAAGGGCUGAUGAGACUUCCAAGAUAAGUGAAGUG
This 78-nucleotide microRNA precursor is filed under the name Schistosoma mattheei. RNAcentral's name for it is "mir-3492 microRNA precursor family". It matches the Rfam family "mir-3492 microRNA precursor family". The record is from Rfam by way of RNAcentral. Lineage: Eukaryota; Metazoa; Platyhelminthes; Trematoda; Strigeidida; Schistosomatidae.